GACCAUGUAGCUCAGUUGGCAGAGCAUUGGGCUAGUAUUCCAAAGGUCGUAGGUUCGAGUCCCACCGUGGUCG
RNAcentral lists this transfer RNA (73 nucleotides) under Paramuricea clavata. It matches the Rfam family "tRNA". From Rfam's summary of the family: Transfer RNA (tRNA) molecules are approximately 80 nucleotides in length. Their secondary structure includes four short double-helical elements and three loops (D, anti-codon, and T loops). The record is from Rfam by way of RNAcentral. Lineage: Eukaryota; Metazoa; Cnidaria; Anthozoa; Malacalcyonacea; Plexauridae.